CUUACUUCUCAAUGCGAAGUUUCAAAUUUGGGUGGGUUCGUUUCGGGGCGUGGGUUUGGACGCUGUCGUUUGGAAUAUGAAAAAGAGAAUCUCUGUGCUUUGUAGUUGCAUCUCACCGUUGGGGAAUUGUUUGAGAGUGGAGAGGCGUUGCCACCUGACGGUGUUAGUUUAAUAUGGAGGAUCUGCUUCAUAGUGUUGUUGCUCUGGAGAGAAGUUGCACCUUGCUCAGUUCUAUUCAAUUAUUUCUCGUUUAGCAGCACUCAACAACGAACUUCAACUCUCCGGAACAACUCAACAGGAUUCAAAUGUUCACAGAUUAUUCGGAAACAAAUCUUUGAUUCUGACAAAAUUUAGCUAUUUCUGAGGAGAAAAUUAGCGACAACGUAUUUGAUAAACACUCUUAGCGGAGUGUCGUGCUACCUCCAACGAAACUCUCACCUCCAGCAAUGUUUCUAAGUUUAUAUUUUUGCAGCUGGAUAAAGUUUUAUGGACGAAUUGACGUACUAUGCACAUAAUAAAGAUAUCGAGUCUAAGAUCCAAAUCUUUCAAGAA
Molecule: non-coding RNA, 552 nt
Organism: Physcomitrium patens
Lineage: Eukaryota; Viridiplantae; Streptophyta; Bryopsida; Funariales; Funariaceae
Source: RefSeq, a predicted model, not a curated record